Non-coding RNA from Pelobates cultripes (western spadefoot toad), 149 nucleotides. The record is from the annotation of a GenBank genome assembly. Lineage: Eukaryota; Metazoa; Chordata; Amphibia; Anura; Pelobatidae.
GACUCUAGAUAACCUCGGGCAGAUCGCACGUCCCCGUGACGGCGACGACACAUUCGGAUGUCUGCCCUAUCACAUGGUGACCACGGGUAACGGGGAAUCAGGGUUCGAUUCCGGAGAGGGAGCCUGAGAAACGGCUACCACAUCUGACG